AGAUUGAACGCUGGCGGCAUGCCUAACACAUGCAAGUCGAACGGGAGUAGCAAUACUCUAGUGGCGGACGGGUGAGGAAUACGUAGGAAUUUGCCCUUAAGUGGGGGAUAACCCGGGGAACCCGGAUUAAUACCGCAUGACCUCGAAAGAGCAAAGUGGGGGAUCGCAAGACCUCACGCUUUUGGAGAAGCCUACGUCGGAUUAGCUAGUUGGUGAGGUAAUGGCUCACCAAGGCGACGAUCCGUAACUGGUCUGAGAGGAUGAUCAGUCA
This 271-nucleotide ribosomal RNA is filed under the name uncultured soil bacterium. RNAcentral's name for it is "partial 16S ribosomal RNA". It matches the Rfam family "Bacterial small subunit ribosomal RNA", at positions 26 to 310 of the family's 1533-position model. The record is from RNAcentral.